UACAGAGGUCUCAAGCGUUGUUCGGAUUCAUUGGGCGUAAAGGGUGCGUAGGCGGCGCGGUAAGUCGGGUGUGAGAUCUCGGGGCUUAACUCCGAAACUGCAUUCGAUACUGCCGUGCUUGAGGACUGGAGAGGAGACUGGAAUUUACGGUGUAGCGGUGAAAUGCGUAGAUAUCGUAAGGAAGACCAGUGGCGAAGGCGGGUCUCUGGACAGUUCCUGACGCUGAGGCACGAAGGUCAGGGGAGCAAACGGG
Molecule: ribosomal RNA, 253 nt
Filed under: uncultured bacterium
Lineage: Bacteria
Description: partial 16S ribosomal RNA
Rfam family: Bacterial small subunit ribosomal RNA
Source: RNAcentral